Molecule: ribosomal RNA, 314 nt
Filed under: uncultured bacterium
Lineage: Bacteria
Description: partial 16S ribosomal RNA
Rfam family: Bacterial small subunit ribosomal RNA
Source: RNAcentral
GUAUAAGAGACAGCAGCCGCCACGGUAAUACAGAGGGUGCGAGCGUUAAUCGGAUUUACUGGGCGUAAAGCGUGCGUAGGCGGCUUCUUAAGUCGGAUGUGAAAUCCCUGAGCUUAACUUAGGAAUUGCAUUCGAUACUGGGAAGCUAGAGUAUGGGAGAGGAUGGUAGAAUUCCAGGUGUAGCGGUGAAAUGCGUAGAGAUCUGGAGGAAUACCGAUGGCGAAGGCAGCCAUCUGGCCUAAUACUGACGCUGAGGUACGAAAGCAUGGGGAGCAAACAGGAUUAGAUACCCCAGUAGUCCCUGUCUCUUAUAC